This 2096-nucleotide long non-coding RNA is filed under the name Mus caroli (Ryukyu mouse). Its description in RNAcentral is "predicted gene, 44026 (MGP_CAROLIEiJ_G0003863.1)". The record is from RNAcentral. Lineage: Eukaryota; Metazoa; Chordata; Mammalia; Rodentia; Muridae.
AGUGCCAGAAAGACAGUUAAGGCUGAGUGUCGACCCAAGAACUGCCGCAUAAACGAAGCAAUAAAAGGAGCAUAGGUGGAGUGAGAAGCGGGGGUCAUGGAGGGGGAGUACAAAAAUCAAAAUAAAAGGAAUAAGAUAAUUUAUUAAAAAGCAGGUCCCCAUCUGAUGACAUCUGUGAUCCACACAUACUGUUUCUGUCCCAGUUCUACACUAGGACUCAGCCUGGGUUGCAGGUUGAUCAGCCUAUGGGCUCCGGUCACAUCCAAGACUCAGCAUUUCGGAAGACGUCUUCGGGAACUGGGAGCUGUGGAAGAGGAAGUUAGCAGCUACUGCACCGCAGGUGAGCAGGGCAAACUGCUCUGCACUUGCUCAGAGAUCAUCUAUAAUGGAUGCUAAGACAGCCAAGGUUGCCAGGAAUUGAUUGGCCUCUCCGUAUAAGCUUUCAGAAAUAGCAGGUAUCUGUUCAUCGAUUCUGAAAUACAUUACUGCUGAAGCACCUUCAACAUCUGUGUCAUCAGAGUCAGAGGCCGAAGCUCUUGGAGGCAACCUCUCUUUGGAGACAGAAAAUGCUGAAAGCGGGAGUUUGUUCAUAUUUAGUGACCUUGGCCUUCCAAACAGUUACAGACUGGGAGGGUUUUGUUGUAAGAAUCACCACAAUGCCCUCUGUACUUUGUCUGAGGAGAAAACACCAACCAGAUGCCCUUGGACCAGGACAGAGAAUAGCAAGCGAAAGUUUAUCAAAGCACACUGCUUAUCUGGUGACGUUCUGUUCCAGGUUCCCGUGACUGGGAAACAGCCAGGGAGAUGACGAUGGUGAGCCUACUGCUAUUUGGACAAUUCACUCGAAAGUCACUCGAAGACUAAUGUACCCAGGAGCUACUAUUUAGCUUCAACAACAGCUGUCAGUUCACCAUCAACCUCAUUCCCAUUUCAAUUAGCUAUUCACCUCCAAAUUUCUAUCUAUCUAUCUAUCUAUCUAUCUAUCUAUCUAUCUAUCUAUCUAUCAAUGUAUCUAUCUAUCUCAAGGUUAUUAAGUAAAAUAAACGAGAACUAAUUAUAAUACUAACUCUCAUUUUCUUUUAUAAUAAUUGAUACAAAGAACAUAUUCUACCUGUAUUCCAAUUUCCCUGUCAGUAGAAUGUGAGCACAUUUUCAGCUCAGAGAAGACCAGGUCACAGCAUUUGAGCUCAGCUUCCUGGAGCUGCUACAGAACCCAAAGGAGUUGUUGUUGUUGUUGUUGUUGUUGUAGAGAGGGCUUACAGCCAGGCCACCUAGAAUUCCCACACUAGUAUGGCUGGAAAUUCAUACAGAGAGACAGGGGGCAUCCCUUCCACUAGACUGUUGGUCUGCCACUUCAGCUGUCCAACCACAAGCCAAAACCCUCUUCAACGGUUCAAAUUAUGUAAACUGUGCUCCGAUUUCCCUGGGUGAGACAUCCCCUGAUGAGCUACCACAGCAGAGACAAGCCCCAACAAAGGUCAUGUGGCUCUAAUCUGCUGUUCCAGGUGCUUCCUGCUGUAGCAUGGACUCAGGCCCACUCAACUUAGUAUGACCAAAAGGGAAGGCUCCUCGCCGGUUCCACAGAACUCAUGAACAGGGCAACCUGGCAGAGUGAAUCAGGAACCACAGGCAACUUCAAGGAACACUCUUUGUUCCCCAGUUUUGGAUUACUUUCGGAGACCCCAAAUUGGUGACUCUCAUUUUGGAGUUCCAACCUUGCUGUUAACUCCUGCCUUCCGUCUGUCCUGACGCCUGUCCAGACUCCUGUUGUCCAUCUGUCCUGACAACUUUGCACUAACAUGGACCUCUGACAGGCUUCCUUUCUGAGACAGUAGUUGCGGCUAUUCAUAAGAAGGCACUUGGCAAGCCACAGCUGUCCUCUGAAUGGAUCCUCACUGCAAGCCUGGCAGCCAUUCAUUCAUUCCACCCGUGUUUACAAGUUGUACUAUGUGUGUGGCAAUCCAUGACAAACUGUGGGAAAACAGAAUAAAACAAAACAAAACAGACCACUUCCUCCCUUCUUGAAGCUUCCACAUAGGGGCAAUGAACCUCAGGAAAUGGCCAUUAUUAUUCCAAUAAAAUACAUGGGGAAACAG